CUCUCAUUGAUGGGAAAAGUAGAAUUCUCUUUUCUGGGGGACCUUUUAUUACUACCAGCUAUGACUAUGAUGCUCCGAUUGAUGAAUACGGCUUGAUUAGGCAACCGAAGUAUGAUCAUCUGAAGGAACUUCAUAAGGUGAUAAAGUUGUGCGAAAAAGCUCUGCUUACUUCCGAUCCGAAUGUCGUCACUUUAUGAAGCUACGAACAGGCACAUAUUUUCUCGUCCAAGUCUGGCGGCUGUGCUGCAUUUCUCUCCAACUACAAUUUGAAGUCGAAUGCAAGGGUGACUUUCAAUAAUAUGCACUAUGACCUUCCCCGUUGGUCCAUUAGCAUCCCCCUGGAUUGCCA
Molecule: long non-coding RNA, 349 nt
Organism: Hibiscus syriacus
Lineage: Eukaryota; Viridiplantae; Streptophyta; Magnoliopsida; Malvales; Malvaceae
Exons: 3
Source: RefSeq, a predicted model, not a curated record